This 253-nucleotide ribosomal RNA is filed under the name uncultured bacterium. Its description in RNAcentral is "partial 16S ribosomal RNA". It matches the Rfam family "Bacterial small subunit ribosomal RNA", at positions 524 to 776 of the family's 1533-position model. The record is from RNAcentral.
UACGUAGGGCGCGAGCGUUGUCCGGAAUCAUUGGGCGUAAAGAGCUCGUAGGCGGCCUGUCGCGUCUGCUGUGAAAUCCCGGGGCUUAACCCCGGGCGUGCAGUGGAUACGGGCUGGCUGGAGGCAGGCAGGGGAGAACGGAAUUCCCGGUGUAGCGGUGAAAUGCGCAGAUAUCAGGAGGAACACCGGUGGCGAAGGCGGGACUCUGGGCCGAUACUGACGCUGAGGAGCGAAAGCGUGGGGAGCAAACAGG